Molecule: small nucleolar RNA, 218 nt
Filed under: Lucilia cuprina (Australian sheep blowfly)
Lineage: Eukaryota; Metazoa; Arthropoda; Insecta; Diptera; Calliphoridae
Description: small nucleolar RNA U3
Rfam family: Small nucleolar RNA U3
About the family: Small nucleolar RNAs (snoRNAs) are involved in the processing and modification of rRNA in the nucleolus. There are two main classes of snoRNAs: the box C/D class, and the box H/ACA class.
Source: RNAcentral
AAGACUAUACUUCACAGGAUCAUUUCUGUAGUCAGUCUUCUUUAUUUUUCAUUGCAAAAUGAAAAAUUUCGUACCCGCGAUGAGGAUGUAUAUCGUUUUAUCUGUAGCGUGAGGUUUUGAAUUUUGUCCUUUGUUUUCUAGUCUUUUCGGGGACUAGUUGGGAUAAGAUUUCUUCGAUGAUCGCUCGGUUAACACGGAUAAAACGACUUCUGAGUGGU